This 301-nucleotide ribosomal RNA is filed under the name uncultured bacterium. Its description in RNAcentral is "partial 16S ribosomal RNA". It matches the Rfam family "Bacterial small subunit ribosomal RNA", at positions 509 to 807 of the family's 1533-position model. The record is from RNAcentral.
CAGUCGCCACGGUAAUACGUAGGGUGCAAGCGUUAAUCGGAAUUACUGGGCGUAAAGCGUGCGCAGGCGGUUCGCUAAGACAGAUGUGAAAUCCCCGGGCUUAACCUGGGAACUGCAUUUGUGACUGGCGGGCUAGAGUAUGGCAGAGGGGGGUAGAAUUCCACGUGUAGCAGUGAAAUGCGUAGAGAUGUGGUGGAAUACCGAUGGCGAAGGCAGCCCCCUGGGCCAAUACUGACGCUCAUGCACGAAAGCGUGGGGAGCAGACAGGAUUAGAUACCCCUGUAGUCCCUGUCUCUUAUAC